Molecule: long non-coding RNA, 1288 nt
Organism: Nematostella vectensis (starlet sea anemone)
Lineage: Eukaryota; Metazoa; Cnidaria; Anthozoa; Actiniaria; Edwardsiidae
Exons: 2
Source: RefSeq, a predicted model, not a curated record
AGCUCGGAUUACGCAACGUAACUUGACCGGGUAUCUACGUAAACACGGAGAGCGCGUCGCAAAACAAGGCAAAAUUCGACCAAAUCAGAGGGGAGUUUCGUUGUUUGUCAUCUUUAAAUCAAUUUACCAAACAAUCUCUGUUCCCAACGCCCUUGUAAUUAAUUAAAGUAAAAUAAACAAAAUAACUUUGGCCUCAGGGUCUUAUGGGUCAAGUUCGGUCUCACUGUUAUACAUCGCGUGACAUAGGGAUAUAGCGACCUCAAAACUUCGUUUCGCAAAGGCUCGCUAAAUUUCCAAAAGUCUCGGAAUCUCGGUGCUCUUUGCGCAAGUCUCUCAGUUUCUCGAAGCUGUUGGUGACUCGUAGUCUCGGAUUUUUUUACGGAAGGCUCACGCCAUUGUCAAAAAUUUUCUUCAUCUUAGAGUCUCUGGCUCACAGUAUCGCAGUAGAAUCUCGGGAUUUAAAGGAACCUUUGGGUUUGGAUUCUAAAACGCGCCUCUCGACGCCCCGUUUGGCUUUGGUUUGGGCAAGAACUACCGCCAGGAUGAGAAUGAUGGUGAUCAAUAUUAGCAGUAGAGCUAUAGUGACGAUGAUCUUGAGUUUGGAGACAACCUUCUCGCCCCUAGCCCAGCGCGGUAAUUUGCUCGAGUCAUUUCUGCUAUCCGCCGCCGUCAAGUUUUUGUACGGUACCGGGCCCGCCGCCUCCGUCUUCUCCUGCGUCAUGUGCACGGAUGGGCAGCUUCUCGUAGAUGAACCAGUGAAGAUGACGCGCUUCUCGUAGAUGAACAAGUGAAGAUGACGCGCUUCUCGUAGAUAGACCAGUUAACACGACGCUAGAGAUACACGAGCACGGAAUAAACAAACGGAAAUAUAAUCCCGGUCAUCACGAGGGAACUAGAGAGAACCACAGGAACCCCGUACUAAAAAAAUACUCUCAAACGGAUUCUAAACAAGACGAUGGGACUGGGAUAUCAAUCAAUCAAGUUUAUUUCAUCAAGUAAUAGUAUAAUGAUAAUAAUGCAAAACAUAGUGAUGAUGAGGAGUGUACUAAAAAGCACAAUGCUUAAGAUGCGUAGCCCCCUGUCACAGCCUUAGCGGUGUGUCUACUAAACAUAUUAAUGUUUUUUAUCUGUUUUAUCUAAGCUGAAUACUUAUUAUUAAAUUUACAUAAUACCUGAUGGAUUGCAUGUGUAUUGCAAUUUUUACCAUUUAUUAUCUCAUUUGUUACACACCAAAAGCUGAACCAUAUAAUUGUAAUAACAAUACUGUAAAUAAAUUGUUUUAAUUGUG